UUAAGCAUAUCAAUAAGCGGAGGAAAAGAAACCAACCGGGAUUGCCUCAGUAACGGCGAGUGAAGCGGCAAGAGCUCAGAUUUGGAAUCGCGCAAGCGAGUUGUAAAGUGAAGACUGACUUUAGGGGAGUCGAACGGUCAAGUGCCUUGGAAAAGGCCGCCACAGAGGGUGACAGCCCCGUUGGCCGGGACCGCUCCCCGUACAAAGUUGUGUCCAAGAGUCGAGUUGUUUGGGAAUGCAGCUCUAAGGGGUGGUAAAUUCCAUCUAAAGCUAAAUACCGGCGAGAGACCGAUAGCGAACAAGUACAGUGAUGGAAAGAUGAAAAGCACUUUGAAAAGAGAGUGAAACAGCACGUGAAAUUGUUGAAAGGGAAGGGCUUGGCCUCAGACGCGGCGCCGCCUCGGUGGUGCCGGGCCAGCAUGGGCUCGCACGGUGCGACAAUGGCAGAGGAAGGUGGCCUUCGGGUGUUAUAGCCUCUGCUGAUGGUGCCAGUGCGGGCCGAGGACUGCGCGUAUGCAAGGAUGCUGGCGUAAUGAUGUCAAGCCGCCCG
Molecule: ribosomal RNA, 550 nt
Filed under: Gaillardinia entomophila
Lineage: Eukaryota; Fungi; Ascomycota; Pichiomycetes; Serinales; Metschnikowiaceae
Description: LSU rRNA
Rfam family: Eukaryotic large subunit ribosomal RNA
Source: RNAcentral